Molecule: ribosomal RNA, 1112 nt
Filed under: Neisseria meningitidis M6190
Lineage: Bacteria; Pseudomonadati; Pseudomonadota; Betaproteobacteria; Neisseriales; Neisseriaceae
Description: bacterial LSU rRNA
Rfam family: Bacterial large subunit ribosomal RNA
Source: RNAcentral
AAAACACAGCACUCUGCUAACACGAAAGUGGACGUAUAGGGUGUGACGCCUGCCCGGUGCUGGAAGGUUAAUUGAAGAUGUGAGAGCAUCGGAUCGAAGCCCCAGUAAACGGCGGCCGUAACUAUAACGGUCCUAAGGUAGCGAAAUUCCUUGUCGGGUAAGUUCCGACCCGCACGAAUGGCGUAACGAUGGCCACACUGUCUCCUCCUGAGACUCAGCGAAGUUGAAGUGGUUGUGAAGAUGCAAUCUACCCGCUGCUAGACGGAAAGACCCCGUGAACCUUUACUGUAGCUUUGCAUUGGACUUUGAAGUCACUUGUGUAGGAUAGGUGGGAGGCUUAGAAGCAGAGACGCCAGUCUCUGCGGAGCCGUCCUUGAAAUACCACCCUGGUGUCUUUGAGGUUCUAACCCAGACCCGUCAUCCGGGUCGGGGACCGUGCAUGGUAGGCAGUUUGACUGGGGCGGUCUCCUCCCAAAGCGUAACGGAGGAGUUCGAAGGUUACCUAGGUCCGGUCGGAAAUCGGACUGAUAGUGCAAUGGCAAAAGGUAGCUUAACUGCGAGACCGACAAGUCGAGCAGGUGCGAAAGCAGGACAUAGUGAUCCGGUGGUUCUGUAUGGAAGGGCCAUCGCUCAACGGAUAAAAGGUACUCCGGGGAUAACAGGCUGAUUCCGCCCAAGAGUUCAUAUCGACGGCGGAGUUUGGCACCUCGAUGUCGGCUCAUCACAUCCUGGGGCUGUAGUCGGUCCCAAGGGUAUGGCUGUUCGCCAUUUAAAGUGGUACGUGAGCUGGGUUUAAAACGUCGUGAGACAGUUUGGUCCCUAUCUGCAGUGGGCGUUGGAAGUUUGACGGGGGCUGCUCCUAGUACGAGAGGACCGGAGUGGACGAACCUCUGGUGUACCGGUUGUAACGCCAGUUGCAUAGCCGGGUAGCUAAGUUCGGAAGAGAUAAGCGCUGAAAGCAUCUAAGCGCGAAACUCGCCUGAAGAUGAGACUUCCCUUGCGGUUUAACCGCACUAAAGAGUCGUUCGAGACCAGGACGUUGAUAGGUGGGGUGUGGAAGCGCGGUAACGCGUGAAGCUAACCCAUACUAAUUGCUCGUGAGGCUUGACUCU